UCUUUUUAUCUUCAAAGAUGAGAUCACUGGGCCUGCAAAUGAGAGUGGUGUUGGGCAGGGUGGUCAACAUUUCUGGAUGCUGACUUCAGAUUUUCAGGACUCUUGGGCCUUUGCCAUCAGAUGCUGAGUUUCUACAAGGCCAUCUUAAGAACUGAAACAUACCAGAAAGAGUGGAGAUUUAAUACUUCAUCUCCAUGGAUGUAGACCAGUUCAACACAACUGAUCUUGAUUGAGCUUACUGGCAACAGCGUCCACAUUCUGACUCCGCGAAAUCCCUCAUUCCCUGUUCAAACCUG
This 296-nucleotide long non-coding RNA is filed under the name Bos indicus x Bos taurus (hybrid cattle). RNAcentral describes it as "lncRNA (ENSBIXG00000029161.1)". The record is from RNAcentral. Lineage: Eukaryota; Metazoa; Chordata; Mammalia; Artiodactyla; Bovidae.